ACCUACCACUGCUAAUCUAUGCCGCUGCCAACCUAUCUAUCGCUGCUAAUCUAUCGCUGCUGCCAACCUAUCUACCGCUGCCAACCUACCUAUCGCUGCCAAUCUAUCUACCACUGCUAAUCUAUCGCUGCUAAUCUAUCGCUGCUAAUCUAUCGCUGCUAAUCUAUCUAUCACUGCUAAUCUAUCGCUGCCAACCUACCUACCGCUGCCAACCUAUCUACCACUGCCAAUCUACCUACCGCUGCCAACCUACCUACCACUGCUAAUCUAUCACUGCUAAUCUAUCGCUGCUAAUCUAUUGCUGCUAAUCUAUCGCUGCUAAUCUAUUGCUGCUAAUCUAUCUAUCACUGCUAAUCUAUCGCUGCCAACCUACCUACCGCUGCCAACCUACCUACCGCUGCCAACCUACCUACCACUGCUAAUCUAUCACUGCUAAUCUAUCGCUGCCAACCUAUAUAGGGUAAAUCAUGGUCCCAUUUGGUCCCAUUUUGUAAAAUGGGACCAAAUGGGACUGGGACCACUAAUUUAUUAGUAAAACAUGAUCUGGGACUAGAUUUAUAAUAUAAACAGUGUAAAGUGACUAAUUUACUAAACACUAUAUGGGACCAGGACUAAGAUAUCUAAUAAUGGGACUGAGGAAAAAUUUGGUCCCAGUCCCAUGCAUGGUCACACGGCCAGUCUAACAGAAAGUGACAUGUCAGAAUAUGGAAAUACCUCAAAUUAGUUCACUUUUUAUUUUCACUUUUUGUUUUCAUUUUUUGUUUUUUUGAUGAUAUCCAUGAAUGUUGAUGUUUUUAAAUUUUUUUUUUUCUUUUUGAUUUUGAAUUUUUUUUUUUUUUUUUUUUAGUUAAUCAAAAUAAAAAUGAUAUGUUUCUGCUGC
This 880-nucleotide small RNA is filed under the name Histoplasma capsulatum G186AR. RNAcentral's name for it is "hypothetical RNA". Lineage: Eukaryota; Fungi; Ascomycota; Eurotiomycetes; Onygenales; Ajellomycetaceae. The record is from RNAcentral.